UCUGUAGCAAUACAGAUGGCGCACGGCGCACGGGUGCGUAACACGUGGGUAAUCUGCCCUUCGAUGGGGAAUAACUUCGGGAAACCGAAGCUAAUUCCGCAUGACAUUCCUUGAACCUCGGUUUGGGGACUCAAAGCCGUAAGGCGUCGGAGGAGGAACCCGCGCACGAUUAGCUAGUUGGUAGGGUAACGGCCUACCAAGGCUUUGAUCGUUAGCUGGUCUGAGAGGAUGGCCGGCCACACUGGAACUGAGACACGGUCCAGACUCCUACGGGAGGCAGCAGUGGGGAAUCUUGCACAAUGGGCGAAAGCCUGAUGCAGCGACGCCGCGUGGGGGAUGAAGCUUUUCGGAGUGUAAACCCCUUUCGACCCGGACGAAUACCUCGCAAGAGGGGUGACGGUACGGGUAUAAGAAGCCCCGGCUAACUACGUGCCAGCAGCCGCGGUAAGACGUGGGGGGCCAGCGUUGCUCGGAAUUACUGGGUGUAAAGGGUUCGUAGGCGGUGUGGCAAGUCGGGAGUGAAAUCUCUGGGCUUAACCCAGAGACUGCUUCCGAAACUGCUGUGCUUGAGUGUGGGAGAGGCGCGUGGAAUUGCAGGUGUAGCGGUGAAAUGCGUAGAUAUCUGCAGGAACACCCGUGGCGAAAGCGGCGCGCUGGACCACUACUGACGCUGAGGAACGAGAGCUAGGGGAGCAAACAGGAUUAGAUACCCUGGUAGUCCUAGCCCUAAACGAUCAGGAACUUGGGGUGCCGCACGUUCGUGCGUCGUCCCGGAGCUAACGCGUUAAGUCCUGCACCUGGGGAGUACGGUCGCAAGACUGAAACUCAAAGGAAUUGAC
This 839-nucleotide ribosomal RNA is filed under the name uncultured Bacillota bacterium. RNAcentral's name for it is "bacterial SSU rRNA". It matches the Rfam family "Bacterial small subunit ribosomal RNA", at positions 73 to 914 of the family's 1533-position model. Lineage: Bacteria; Bacillati; Bacillota. The record is from RNAcentral.